This 71-nucleotide transfer RNA is filed under the name Marmota monax (woodchuck). RNAcentral describes it as "tRNA.Undet". Lineage: Eukaryota; Metazoa; Chordata; Mammalia; Rodentia; Sciuridae. The record is from RNAcentral.
GAGGUUGUGGCUCAGUGGUAGAGUGCUUGCCUAGCAUGUGUCAACCACUGGGUUCGAUACCCAGCACCCCA